Molecule: unclassified non-coding RNA, 205 nt
Filed under: plant metagenome
Description: partial contains small subunit ribosomal RNA, internal transcribed spacer 1, and 5.8S ribosomal RNA
Source: RNAcentral
GUAGGUGAACCUGCGGAAGGAUCAUUAAUGAAACUUCAAAGUCGGCUUGUCUAUCUGUGCUGGUGGAGACACAUGUGCACGUUGACAGGUCGCAAAUCCACACACCUGUGCAUCUAUGACUCUGAGUACCGCUUUGCAUGGCCCUUAUCGGGCCUGGUACUCGAGUACUUUACACACUCUGAAUGUAAUGGAAUGUCUUUUUGUA